CCUACGGGAGACUGCAGUGGGGGAUAUUGCACAAUGGGGGAAACCCUGAUGCAGCGACGCCGCGUGGGCGAAGAAGUAUUUCGGUAUGUAAAGCCCUAUCAGCAGGGAAGAAGAAAUGACGGUACCUGAGUAAGAAGCACCGGCUAAAUACGUGCCAGCAGCCGCGGUAAUACGUAUGGUGCAAGCGUUAUCCGGAUUUACUGGGUGUAAAGGGAGCGCAGGCGGCACGGCAAGCCUGAUGUGAAAGCCCGAGGCCCAACCGCGGGACUGCAUUGGGAACUAUCGGGCUUGAGUGCCGGAGAGGUAGGCGGAAUUCCUAGUGUAGCGGUGAAAUGCGUAGAUAUUAGGAGGAACACCAGUGGCGAAGGCGGCCUACUGGACGGUGACUGACGCUGAGGCUCGAAAGCGUGGGGAGCAAACAGGAUUAGAUACCCCUGUAGUC
This 442-nucleotide ribosomal RNA is filed under the name uncultured bacterium. RNAcentral's name for it is "partial 16S ribosomal RNA". It matches the Rfam family "Bacterial small subunit ribosomal RNA", at positions 338 to 795 of the family's 1533-position model. The record is from RNAcentral.